GAUAUUCCCCAAAAAAAACCCGCACGCCGAAAACCCAAGGUUUCCUGCUCAACGUUAAUCGGAGCAGGGUGAGCCGGUUCCUAAGACGAGGCCGAAAGGCGUAGCCGAUGGAAAACAGGUCAACAUUCCUGUGCCCGGUGUGAUUGCGAUGGGGUGACGGAGAAGGCUAGUUCAGCAGGGGUUGGUUCCCUGUUUAAGCAUGUAGGAGGAGUUGCCAGGCAAAUCCGGCAGCUCUUAACUCCGAGGUGUGAUGACGAGGCUCCACGCGAGCCGAAGUGAAUAACGCCCCGCUUCCAGGAAAAGCCUCUAAGCUUCAGAUCACAUUGGACCGUACCGUAAACCGACACUGGUGGGUGAGCAGAUAAUCUGCCAAGGCGCUUGAGAGAACUCGGGUUAAGGAACUCUGCAAAUUGAUACCGUAACUUCGGAAGAAGGUAUGCCUUCGACGGUGUAGGGAUUUACUCCCGAAGCUGUUGAAGGUCGCAGGUAAUCGGUGGCUGCGACUGUUUAUCAAAAACACAGGACUCUGCGAACACGCAAGUGGAAGUAUAGGGUCUGACGCCUGCCCGGUGCCGGAAGGUUAAUUGAUGGGGUUAGCCGCAAGGCGAAGCUCUUGAUCGAAGCCCCGGUAAACGGCGGCCGUAACCAUAACGGUCCUAAGGUAGCGAAAUUCCUUGUCGGGUAAGUUCCGACCUGCACGAAUGGCGUAACGCUGGCCAUACUGUCUCGACCCGAGACUCAGUGAAGUUGAAAUCGCUGUGAAGAUGCGGCGUUCCCGCGGCAAGACGGAAAGACCCCGUGAACCUUCACUACAGCUUUACACUGAACUUUGAACCUUUCUGUGUAGGAUAGGUGGGAGGCUAUGAAACUUGGGCGCUAGCUCGAGUGGAGCCAACCUUGAAAUACCACCCUGGGAUGUUUGAAGUUCUAACCUUGGUCCGUAAUCCGGAUUGGGGACAGUGUAUGGUGGGUAGUUUGACUGGGGCGGUCUCCUCCCAAUAGUAACGGAGGAGUGCAAUGGUACGCUCAGCGCGGUCGGUCAUCGCGCUCUAGAGUGCAAAGGCAUAAGCGUGCUUAACUGUGAGACAGACACGUCGAACAGGUACGAAAGUAGGUCUUAGUGAUCCGGUGGUUCUGUAUGGAAGGGCCAUCGCUCAACGGAUAAAAGGUACUCCGGGGAUAACAGGCUUAUUCCUCCCAAGAGUCCACAUCGACGGAGGAGUUUGGCACCUCGAUGUCGGCUCAUCACAUCCUGGGGCUGUAGCAGGUCCCAAGGGUAUGGCUGUUCGCCAUUUAAAGUGGUACGCGAGCUGGGUUCAGAACGUCGUGAGACAGUUCGGUCCCUAUCUGCCGUGGGCGUUGGAAACUUGAGGGUGAGCUGUCCUUAGUACGAGAGGACCGGGAUGGACGUAUCUCUGGUGUUCCGGUUGUCACGCCAGUGGCACUGCCGGGUAGCUAUAUACGGACGGGAUAAGCGCUGAAAGCAUCUAAGCGCGAAGCCCCCCCCAAGAUUAGGUUUCCCUGGGAACUCGAUUCCCCUAAAGGGCCGUCGGAGACUACGACGUUGAUAGGCUGGGUGUGUAAGUGCAGCAAUGCAUUGAGCUAACCAGUACUAAUUGCCCGUGAGGCUUGACCAA
Molecule: ribosomal RNA, 1637 nt
Filed under: metagenome
Description: bacterial LSU rRNA
Rfam family: Bacterial large subunit ribosomal RNA
Source: RNAcentral